This 429-nucleotide ribosomal RNA is filed under the name Bacillota bacterium. Its description in RNAcentral is "Firmicutes bacterium partial 16S ribosomal RNA". It matches the Rfam family "Bacterial small subunit ribosomal RNA", at positions 355 to 776 of the family's 1533-position model. Lineage: Bacteria; Bacillati; Bacillota. The record is from RNAcentral.
UAGGGAAUCUUCGGCAAUGGACGGAAGUCUGACCGAGCAACGCCGCGUGAGUGAAGAAGGUUUUCGGAUCGUAAAGCUCUGUUGUUCGAGAAGAACGUUGGUAGGAGUGGAAAAUCUACCAAGUGACGGUAACUAACCAGAAAGGGACGGCUAACUACGUGCCAGCAGCCGCGGUAAUACGUAGGUCCCGAGCGUUGUCCGGGUUUAUUGGGCGUAAAGCGAGCGCAGGCGGUUCUUUAAGUCUGAAGUUAAAGGCAGUGGCUUAACCAUUGUACGCUUUGGAAACUGGAGGACUUGAGUGCAGAAGGGGAGAGUGGAAUUCCAUGUGUGGCGGUGAAAUGCGUAGAUAUAUGGAGAAAAACCGGUGGCGAAAGCGGCUCUCUGGUCUGUAACUGACGACGAGGCUCGAAAGCGUGGGGAGCAAACAGG